This 454-nucleotide ribosomal RNA is filed under the name uncultured bacterium. RNAcentral describes it as "bacterial SSU rRNA". It matches the Rfam family "Bacterial small subunit ribosomal RNA", at positions 340 to 786 of the family's 1533-position model. The record is from RNAcentral.
UACGGGAGGCAGCGGUGGGGAAUAUUGCACAAUGGGCGCAAGCCUGAUGCAGCCAUGCCGCGUGUAUGAAGAAGGCCUUCGGGUUGUAAAGUACUUUCAGUCGUGAGGAAGGUGUUAAGGUUAAUAACCUUAGCAAUUGACGUUAGCGACAGAAGAAGCACCGGCUAACUCCGUGCCAGCAGCCGCGGUAAUACGGAGGGUGCGAGCGUUAAUCGGAAUUACUGGGCGUAAAGGGCACGCAGGCGGUUAAUUAAGUUGGAUGUGAAAUCCCCGGGCUUAACCUGGGAAUGGCAUUCAAGACUGGUUAGCUAGAGUCUUGUAGAGGGGGUUAGAAUUCCAUGUGUAGCGGUGAAAUGCGUAGAGAUGUGGAGGAAUACCGGUGGCGAAGGCGGCCCCUGGACAAAGACUGACGCUCAUGUGCGAAAGCGUGGGGAGCAAACAGGGAUUAGAUACC